RNA transcript from Pecten maximus, 4407 nucleotides. It is a transcript of the gene named midasin-like, with no coding region annotated. The transcript has 5 exons. The record is from RefSeq and is a predicted model, not a curated record. Lineage: Eukaryota; Metazoa; Mollusca; Bivalvia; Pectinida; Pectinidae.
CAGUCUGAUAAUGUUAUUCAUCCAAGGCUUAUCAUUUGGACGUAUGGUUAUAACUUUUGAAGGAAUGAAAGUAUUGACUUGCUCAGUUAUUGAAUCAAGUAUAAAGGAGUUGAAUGUGUUAGAGUCUUGAUUUGAUGAAAUGUUCAACCAAUCAAUAUUGAGGAGAGCAUUAUUUAUACUGUCAAAGUCAGCCUCAUCAUAUUUUAAUAGUGGUUUUUUAUAGCUUGCUUGUUUGAAUAAAGUAAAAGAAAUUUGAGCAUGGACUGGAGAGUGGUCACUGCAGAAUGGUGGACUUACAUGAGUGUUUUUAAUUAGGUUCAGAUUAUUAGUAAAGAUUACAUCAAUGGAUGUGGCACUAUCAGGCGUUAUUCUUGUAGGUUCACUAAUAAGGCUAGAUAAGUUAUGUUUAAUAAGUAGUCUUGACAAGUGAUCGUUUAAUGGAAUAUUCAACAUGUCUAUAUUAAUAUCACCUGUUAGUAUAACAUCCAAUGAAGUAUCAGUAGCUCUAGUUAAUGAGUCAUCUAAUUUGACCCAGUAAUCAACAUUAUUAUCAGGUCUAUAGAUACAACCAAGAAGAAAUUUAUGAUUAUCUACACGAACCUUGAGCCAGAGUAAUUCAAUAUCAUCUCGCUCUAAUUCCAAUCUUCUGUUUAUAACGAUAUCAUCUUUAUGAUAAACUAUAAUUCCACCACCAGGACCUGUACUUCUAUCUUUCCUAAAAAGUUUAUUACUAAAGGUUUGUAAUCGAAUGUCGACAUCAGAUAUCUGUUGAUUUAGAUGAGAUUCAGUUAUACAUACAAUAUCAAUAUUUUCAAAUUCAGCUUCAAUAAUUGAUAUCUUAUUUCUGAGAGAACGCACAUUUAAGUGAACUAGGUUUAAGUUAUGUAGAGGUCCAGGAUUUCUUUCGAUAUCAUUACAACAGGAUAAAAAUAUAAAAAGUGAUACAAGGAAAUAUGAUAAAUUGUUAAAAUAUGAUAAUAGAAAUGUAAUUGGAUAGCCAUGACAAGAAUCCCUAGAAAAAUAAUUAGAUCUAGCAAAGUUAAUAAUCGACCGUAAUUAAAGCUGGUAACAUAAAAAUAUCUAAAAUAUUACCCAUUGUCAAAUGAGAAAGAAUUUGCUGGCAAGUAGGGUCGGUCGAUCAUCCAAGGCGGGUUUACGUUGUUAAAUGAGUCUUCAGGUAGGUGACAUGAGCAGCAGUUGAGUAUACAUAUAGGACAAAUACAGAACAUACAGGAAAUUACAAAUACAACUUUCACACACACACACAAAUCAUUCUUAACAUCAUAAACUUCGAAACACAUGUACAAACUUUGGGAAACGGAAGUGAUCAUGACUCAUCAAGGUGCAGUGGACGCUUGAAAGCAUAGGUCCUCGAAGUAUUUUACCAUGAAUUUUAAUACAAAAUAAUUAUAAAUACACACAAAUAAUUGUAGAUAAACAAAAAAUAAAUUGGUUGAGUAGGGUAAUUACAUAAUUAUAUAUGUUAAAUUGGUUUGAGUAUGCGUAUAAGAGAGAGAAAAGUAGUAGAAUCUUUAAUAAAAACGAGAUUGUUUAAACUAACACAACAGGCCCCUGUGAUAUGUUCGCCUUCCUUUAGCUAAACGGAGCGAUUAAGUUUAUAACGUUGUAAUACGGGAUAUUUCCACGACUCAAUAUCAAACAUUGAUUCAUUCGCAUUUACACAGAAAAUGCAUUCAAACACUUGCUUGAGAAAAGCGAGCAUGAUGUUUAACAUACAGCGUAGCAAAUAAAUACGUGACAUUGGAAGUAACUUCAAUAUAUAGACUAGACAGAAGGAUUGUCAAAAAGGGCUUAUUGUACACGAUAGAGUAAUUGGAUUUAAAUAUUCGUAUCCACGAAUUUCUGAAGACAGUAACAGACUUGGAGAAAAGGUGACCUCCAAGUUAACGCUGACCUCUUUAGGGUCAGGCGGCAGGGCAUUUAAGUGGGCUGACAGCGUGCUGGUACAGGCAUUACAGGCCGGUCACUGGCUACUUAUCGACAAUGUCAACUUCUGCAGUGCCUUCGUCCUAGAUAGACUGAAUGCCCUGUUGGAGCCCCACGGCGUCCUUAACAUCAACGAAAGAGGUGUAAUCGAUGGUGUCAUCCCAACCAUAACACCACAUCCUAACUUCAGGAGGAUGGGUCACUAUACAGCUCUCAUGAUGUCAAGGUCAUGUUACAAGGUCAAGGUCUCAGAUGAUGGAGCCUGUGAUUGGCUGAUGUCUCUACAUACUGACAUGAGAGAGAAUAUCUCACUUGGGGAACGGCCUGUCAUACUCGAUCUAAUCCGUGCUGCCAUGGUGAGGCAACAGCAGACAGAUAGAGGCAUUUUUAUUGGUCAAGGCAUUGAUACAUGCAUCGUGUGAUGGGUAUGUCAAGAAUAUCAGAAGUUUUGUGACGAGAAAGGUAGGUGUAUGUACACUGUGCUGAUUUCAUGUAUUGAUUUACUGAAGAAACCUUUGUAUAAAGCUAUUUACUUACUGCUAUAUCUAACAGACAAGUUCUCCAGCUCUGUCAAAAUUUAGACACUUUUGUGUCUUUCCUCCUUGUAGAGUUGUACAACCUUAGAGAACACCAAGAUGUACAGACAAUUUCUAUUAUGAAAUGUGAGUGAAGCAAAAACAUAUUAUCUUAUAAGUCCUUUACCAGUGAAACAAGGUAGGACUAUAGUUUUCCUCUCCGUCCGUCUUGUAUGAAGGUAGGUAAUGCCAAAGUUAGUCAGCACUCUAGAGGCUUCAUUCCUUGAGCGAUUUUGAUCAAACUUCACACAAUGAUAAAGGACCAUAAUAUUUUAUUAUAUAAUAUUUUGGACAAGAUUCUGUUUUAGGGUGACUGUUACUAUUUUUAGUGAGGGGGGUUAGGGGACAUGUAUUAAUGCUUUGGCAAUGCCCGGUAUGCUUGUUUAUCCACUCGUCCACUGAAAGGUGGAAAGGCCGUAAUAGUGGACAGUAAACUGGUUAAUGAUAAUAAUGAUAAAUUGUUUAUCUUGUUAUACCCUUAAUCAAUAGUCAUUAUAUAAAUGUAUUGAGUAAAAAUGCCAAAGUUUAACUGUUGUGGUCGCUGGUUCAAACAAACUGUUAAAAUUAACUGUUAAAAUUGACUGUUGACCGCUAACCUUUCCGGAAGUACCCGAAUGCGUCCGAGUGAUUACGAUUUCCUGUAAACAUUAGAGUUACUUUCCCUUGUCGUUUGCACAACCUGAAAUGGCUAUGAGUGGUGCAGACGGUUUAUGUAGGUUUGCCCUGGCAUCUAAACACGAAAUACAGCAAAUUUUGGAUGACCAUGACAGCAAAAAUACGAAAAAUGUGGUGAAAACAGCGGAAAACAUCUUGACUGACUUUCUGUUGACAUGCGAUCUCUCUCUUACGCUGAUCAAAGAUUAUUCAACUGAGGAUUUGAACGAUUUGCUGAGAAAGUUCUACUGUGCCGUUCGUACAUGUUAAAGGUCAAAAGUCACACUUUUUUACUUUAAAAAACAAAAUGAUUUUUUACAACAUAUCUCAUGAAUUUCUGGACAGAUUUAGUCCAUAUCCACACCAUAACAUCACAUCAUCAGGUUCUACACUUGAUAAGAUUUCAGUGAUUAUCAGUCCAGGUUUUCGUAGCUCAUGAUCACUUAUAAGAUAAAACAGAUGGUGUACAAGAUAUCUCAUAAACCCCUGGAAAGAUUUAUUAGUCUCCUGCCGGUGAAACCAGGGGGACUAGAGGUUUCCUCUCCAUCCGUCUGUCCGUCCGUCUGUAAGUCUGUGCAUUCAGUUUCUGAGCUUUUCUCAGCCUUGCUUCAAGGUAUGUUUGUGAAAGUUGGUAUACAACUUUGGUAUGAGUAGCGCCAGAUAAAGUUAGAGUUUCGGGGUUUAUUGGGAAUGAUAGGGGACAGGUGCUCUAGCUUGUUGAAGAUGGGGUUGGGGGUGUAUCUAUGUGAUCUCCUGCUCACUUUGUAUUUAUUUCAUUACAGGAUUUGCCCUGGGUAGACGGGACCACACUGAGCUUUGUGACAUAUAUGUACUGUUGCCCCAGAAGGAAGAACUGCUGAAAGCUAUUGCCUCCCUUCAGCUAACAAAUUACGUAGAUGUUAUCAAGAUGAGUACCACAUGAAGGUAAAACAGAUUCAAGAGACUCUGAAAAAACUUGGCUUGGAUAAAAAGACUGAGGAUGAUUUGACUACUGACAUUAUCCAAUCACAGCCAGAGAGUAUUGACAUAGCUACCAGGUCACCAUGGCAACAUGUGUGUUUGUGGCCUCUUUUUGAGUAUGUUUCCCUCUUUGCUGCGGCAGCAUCAGUCCCGCAUCUCUACUCUUGCAACAUUCCUGAUGGAUGCCAGAGCUAAACUGACUUCUGUUUGACCUUCACCCCAAUGUCUCCAGAACAGGUCACUCAGUACCAGAACCUCGGACAAACUGACA